AUGGGUGCUACUAUUGAUCGUUCGCUGAAUGCUUCUCGGGGUCCCAAGGUCUUUAAAAUUAGUGGCCAGGUGUCUCAUCGCAUAGGUUCUCUCUUGCCAAAAGACCCUAACACUCCUAAAUUUGCCGAGCUUUAUAUAUAUGAUCCAGCGAAUGAGAUUGCCCAUAGGAUGCGUGCUUUAAAUCCGGAUGAUAAGCCUGUGGACCAAAUAGAUGAGGAUAUAGUGGUUGGCCUGAGAGAUAUGCUUAAUGAGUUCGAUCCAUUGGUACAAAAAUUUAGAGAGGCAAGUAAAAUCAUAGAAGAUAGUGGGGAUGAGCAUAUGGAAGAAAUUUCCAUCCGAAUCAUUGGUCCUUCCGAUGGUGAUGGCCCACAGUUCAGUUUGCCCACGUCUGCGGGGCUUGCUGCUUUGAUUGUGGGUGACCUUACUGUUGAAACCUCCGCACAUGAUAUAAUUAUUUCUAGCCGUUCGAAAGGCCUGCAACAAAUCGCUUCUCUUAAACCUGCCUUUAUGCCUUUGCAGUAUCCCUUGCUUUUUUCGCGUGGGGAAAUGGGGUUUCAGAUAGAUGUUCCUUAUAUGUCUGUUCAGCUAGCUGAUGAUAUCGAUGUGCCUGGUAGUACUGGGAAUGUUGACUAUCAUUAUGUAUGCCAUUAUAGAGGUGACCAGCCAAACCCAUUCUUGUGUUAUGGUCUUUUGUCGUCCCAGGCUGUUGUUGAUGCACGAGCUUGCAUUGACGAAAACAGACUAUGGUACAUACUGAGAAACCAAGAUAAACUUAGAUCUAAGAAUAUGCAGGGCAUCACCGAUGCCGUUGGUGGUGGUUGUGUUGAUGGUGCGACUCUAGGUAAAAUGAUUAUCCUGCCUUCGAGCCACACCGCUGGUCGUCGUUACUUUCAAGAGAACUUUCAGGAUGGCCUUGCCAUAUGCCGGGUGCACGGUGCACCUGACAUAUUCACCACUUUCACCUGCAACCCCAAGUGGCCAGAAAUUACACAGACGCUAGAACCGGGACAAAAACCACAUGACAGGGCAGAUAUUGUUGUCAGGGUUUACCACAUGAAGCUGGUUUAG
Molecule: ribosomal RNA, 1068 nt
Filed under: Triticum aestivum (bread wheat)
Lineage: Eukaryota; Viridiplantae; Streptophyta; Magnoliopsida; Poales; Poaceae
Description: partial small subunit ribosomal RNA
Source: RNAcentral